This 58-nucleotide microRNA precursor is filed under the name Saimiri boliviensis (Bolivian squirrel monkey). Its description in RNAcentral is "precursor JH378255_827 miRNA". It matches the Rfam family "mir-24 microRNA precursor family", at positions 9 to 65 of the family's 69-position model. From Rfam's summary of the family: This family represents the microRNA (miRNA) mir-24 family. miRNAs are transcribed as ~70nt precursors (modelled here) and subsequently processed by the Dicer enzyme to give a ~22nt product. In this case the mature sequence comes from the 3' arm of the precursor. The record is from RNAcentral. RNAcentral also lists the same sequence under 1 other name. Lineage: Eukaryota; Metazoa; Chordata; Mammalia; Primates; Cebidae.
UGCCUACUGAGCUGAAACACAGUUGGUUUGUGCACACUGGCUCAGUUCAGCAGGAACA